RNA transcript from Bombus impatiens (common eastern bumble bee), 5062 nucleotides. It is a transcript of the gene named protein tipE, with no coding region annotated. The record is from RefSeq and is a predicted model, not a curated record. Lineage: Eukaryota; Metazoa; Arthropoda; Insecta; Hymenoptera; Apidae. The transcript has 6 exons.
GUCCCGUCGAGGACUCUCGGUUGAGUUUCGACGAGUAGUCACGCUUUAACUCGCGAUCCGCGAGGCGGAUGUUAUCCGGAACGCGAGUUCACAGGUGCAGGUGUGCCCAGAUGUAACACGCGAAAGCUUUGAAAAAGCUGGUUGAUCCUAGCUCCUGCACCCUGUGCCAGAAACAUCCGGACGGAGACGUGGUUUUGAGCUGGUGACGAAACUCCAGGAGCCAGGAGACAGGUGCGAGUGUCAGGUGUCGUAGAUAGGUGUUGGGGUGUUUUAGAUCUUCGAGCCUGGGUCUGUCUUUAUUCGACGAAUACGCGGCCACCGUUACAAUAGAAUCGUUGUUUCGAACACUUGUGGAUCGAAGCAACUCUAACGAAUCACAUACAUAUACGCGGCGACAGGUGUAUUUUUUAAAGGUGAUAGUAGUCGUGGAAGGUGUGGAAAGAUUCAAAGAUUCAUUGAUCACACAGCAACACGGGACACUCGCUGUCUUGGAUACGCGCCUUCGCCUGUUCGAGUCGUUUAAGGUAAACACCGGUGUGUGCCACCGAUCGGCCGAGAUAUCUAGGUCAACAGGCAGUGGCCAGAGGCAACUAGUUGCGGCUGUAAUCGUUCCUGUAACCGAGGCCAGCGGCAGACGUUGUGUUCUUUUUUGGUUGAAAGAAGGAAGAAAGAAGAGAUCGUUCGUGAUAAUCUAACGCUGGACCAAUAAACGUCCGAGAUACCAGAGGCGGGAGGAUUUAUCUAAGAGGUGUCGAGAGAAGAACGGAGAGAAAUAGCUAGGCGAGAAAGGGGUCUAUUGUUCGUUAAGGUCGCGUCGCUCACGAUCGGAUUUCCUUGAUUACGGUUACGGUAUCGACGCGAAGGAACAGCAGCCGUGUUCUUUCCGGUGGAGGAAGAAAGUAAGAGAAUUUCGAUCAAUCUUGGCCAAGCGACGCGAGACGCGUUAUCCUUCAUCCUCGUUCUGGACGCGACUUUUGCCGAUUAUACGCGCUGAUGACAACUACGGAUUUAUUAUCAAUUUUCGUUAAUUAGAAUGAUCCUCGGAUGUUUAUGUCUCUUCAUUCGAGUUGUUAGUUAAGGCGAAGGAACGAAGGAAGGGAAGAAGCAAAAAGACAAUAAAGUGUAUCAUAUCCGAGAAGAUCGAAGCCAAUUGGAAUAUUACAGAAAUGAUUGGUUGAUCCGUCUUUUAUCGUGUUUUGAAAUAUUUUUAUUCGGCUUAUUCGAUAUUCGUUAGUUAGAGUGUUUGUAGCAGUGAACGGGAAUUACCAAGGCCUAAUUAAGGAUUUAGUUUUGUAAUGAUUCAAGUGUCGUCGAUUGCGCGAUAGAGUUUAGUGAUAGUUAUCUAGAGAGGCGGUUUGUAGGAGUGCUCAGAGCAAAGAUAACGGCCUUGAAACUUUUCCAUGCACGGAUCGGAAGACCGAGCUAGACAAGAUGCUCUAUGCCUGACAGCGUGACUACAGCUAAAGGUCGUGAUCGAUCGACUUACUUCGAUGGCCUAAAAGAACUUUAAACGUUCAAGGUCAUUAUGCAUAGCGAUAAAACGGAAACGUAAAGUGCGGACAAGUCGGUUGGUCCGUUCGAUUGUUACGACACCUAGCUAUUUCGUUUUGAAAUAGCGUAACGCACGAUUCCUAUUCUAUUCCAUUGCAUUUGGCCAAGAAUCUAGUCUCAAUAGAAAAUCUUCGUUACAGGCCAGAUGAGGCGAUAGCGGAAUUCGUUAAUCCGCACGAUGUCGUGUCAAGGAUACUCAACCGAUCAAGAACGUCCUGGCAUUCGCGAAAUGUGCCACGCACAUCCCUCGAUCUCUCUCGAGUUCUUACAGAGUUUUUAUAAGACUUCACAGACACCGUCGUGCUUAACGAAGCGACGAUAACGGAGGAUCGCUUCGUCAGGACUCAGGCUGUUCUCGCAUCACCUAUACGUUGUAUCAUCUAAUUCCACUCUAAAAGCGGAACGUAAAAGCAACGUCGUCGGACUGAUAGAAUUAACGAAACCACAAAGCGUACCGAUCGUAUUUCCUCGUUUCCACACGGUCCUAAACAUCGCACAGCCUAAAACCUCAGGUGGAUCAACAAAGGCAAAUCCUCGUCGAUCCUCGCUUUAAUUAACGCUUUGAUCAAACAACCUCUAGACCAGUCGCAAGCCAAAGUGUUCGCCAGAUGACAUAGUUCGCUAAAUGAGAUCACCGAAGCGACUUGCCGAUUGAACGAUUCAGAAAGCUGCUACUUGUGGUCGAUGCGAAAGGAGGCUCGACGGUCGACCUCGCGAACGAAACAGCUCCCGACCCCUUAGUAGUCAACGGACAAAAGCGGCCUGGCCGGCACUCGAUGAGUCCUAGUGAAGAUAAGGAUCCUCGAAAACCCUUGAUCGUUUGCCUGGAACGUCUGAAGAAGCUCCGGUUGGCACCUAUUUGAGAGCGGUCGGGUGAUGCGCGGGAGCAGCUCUGAACUCCUGCUGGAGGCAAGUUGCGUCCAGUGUCAGAGCGAUCACCACGCCGGCGAGCACACCACCAGGCAUCAGCAGCAGCAUCAGCUAAACGAGAAACACGACUUCCAGGAGCGAGAGCUACGUCGUCGCAAACUGUUGGAGCUCGGGUUCGGCGCUUCGCGGCGCCGACCGCCACGGCGUACCUGCCGUCAGCGGUUCAACUUUUACGCCACCUCGGCGUUGGCAUUCGUCGCGACGUCCGGCGGUGCGGCCCUAUUAUUUUUGGUGCCGCUAUACGUCGAUCCGGCCAUCAGCACUCUGGCUGCCGAUUUCUCGCCAGAUCCGGUCAUCUGCACCACCUCCAGGCGCGAAGAACUCGCUGGCUUGUUCAAUUGUACCUGGAGUUCCUGCCGCGAAGGAUGCACCAGUGACGUUUAUAGGUGUACGCAUAUAUACGUCACGUAUACACCAUGGAGCAAUACGAGCAUGAAGAAUGACACCGGGGGUAGAGGCAAUUCGGAGAACUCUACCGGCGUCACGCACACCUCAACCACUUCGGUGCCGACGCCAGGCGACGUGGAGGCAGUGCUCCUGGUGAACAUCAAGGGGUGCGGCUAUCCGCCGAUCGUCGACUGCGAAAACUUCACCCGCGAACUAGGCUACGAAGGCGCGAAAUUCCCCUGCCAUUACAGCCGCGUGAACGGCAGCAUAGUGAUGGCGAACUAUAACCGUGAGGCGCAGGUCACCACCAUCAUACACUUCUUCGCGGCGCCUUUCGUAGUGACUCUCGCGACCAGCGUCGCUCUGUGUGUGAUGCACUGUGACUGCAGGUGCAGUCCACCGCCACGGCAUUCGUCGCGAGGAAUGAGAAGAGGCAGGGGCAACGAUCUCAGAAUCGAGUUAUGUAAAUUCUGCAACAUACAUAUCGGCCGUUAGAACCGUCACUGUUAAUAUACUCGGUGUGAGUAUACACCAGCUUGGUUGAACUUAAUGGAAGAACUAAAAAUAAGAUAUAUAAAAUGUUCAAUUGUUAUCAUUUUAACAGUAUCACUUUUAAUUGAUUAUUCAGCAAAUUUUUUCAUUCCAUUUUAUUAAAAAAAAGUUUCAUUCAAAUCUAUUAUGGAUCCACACAGCAUAUUCGCGAGAAAUGCUUCAAAGAAAGUUUUGCUUGAUGAAAGCUUGUGUGUUGCACUGCUGAUUGCCGAGAUAUAGGCUAUGGAAACACACGUCUGCGUGAUGCGAAAAUAUCUCGAUAUACAUAUAACACAGAAUACCGCAGUUUAUAUUAUUCUGAUAUUUACGUAAAUAUUAAUAAUCUCGAAGAGACUAACUUGCGCCAAUGAAACGUUUCCAGCGACGAAGGUGGGAAAUGUUCCUUUGGCCCUCUAUACAUUAUCACGUUCGGGAUAUUGUGCAGGGAGUUAAAAAACGGGAGUUCAGAAAUUUGCAGAUUUCGAGUGCUCGAUGAGCUAAGCAAAGCUGAUUUAUCGUCAGCCGACUGUUUUAUAUAAAAAUCAUUCACGCAACUUUAUUAUUUAUUAUACUCGUAAUUGCCUUGAAUUUCAAAAUUGUAAGUUGUCGUUUUCUGUUGUUUACUUUUCCAUAUUAUCAGAAUCGAAGAAAAAGUUCUGAAAUAAAAGAAACAUAAUUUUUAUUAUUAUCCAACCAAGAACCGACAAGUUGCGUUGAAACAGUUAAUCUGAAAAUGUUUAAUGUCAAUAACAAUUUCUUGCCCAGGGACAUCGAAUAUUAGAAGCCAUCAAUUUCCGAAAUCACCUUUUUUAAAUCUCUGCACUUAUUGCUUCUAACUUGUGUGCUAUUUUAUUAUUGUUGAUCGACUCGCACGAAUGUUUCUCACGUAUGCGUCUUUGUGAAAGAAUCUUAAUUAUUAAAGUCAUUUACAUAUAAUAUAACAAGUAUAUUAGCGUACACAUCGAAGCAUCGUCUAUUUUAAAUCGAUCGAAGAAGAUAAAAAAGCUAGACUGCGAUCGAUUCGUAAACUCGUGUAAGCUUACCUGUACGUUUCCCAAGUUUUUGGAAACACAAUUCGAUGGACCAGUCGCAUUUUGUUUUAUGUGUGCGUUCGUGUACCGUGCCAAGAUCUCUUCGAGUUAUCGAUACGAUUUGUUUUUCAGCUACUUCCAUCGACAUUGCCAAAAAUCGUCCGACUUGCGACUAUGGUGUCGUCGGCAGAUCGGUCUUUCGAGCAAAGAUUCGACGCUACAGACGCGGCUGCGACGCAAUCGAGGAUGAAAGAUCGUCGUUUGCGAUUUUCAUCGACGCGCUUGUGCACGGAAAUCGAGACACGAGAUCGUCGUAUGGACGACGUGAUGGCGCGCGCGAAUUGCCGGAAGUUAUAGUCUCGCGAUGCAGAGCUGCAGCUGGAACGCAUGGAGCACUGAGAAGAUCCGGGCUCCACGGUAAAAGUUCUCGCGGAAGUUAGAAAUGCAAAUUCCUGGUAACCGCGCUGAAGCGGAAUCCCGUUUUUAAGGGUGAGAGGAGGAGAAGGAGAAAGAAUUUCUUGGAGUCUCUCGGCGAGCUAGACUCGUAUCGAUGAACGGCGUACAUUAUGCUUGAAUGAAUGUAUGUAACUAUGGUGUAUCAUUGAAUGUAAUAAAAGAAUUGUACAGAGAUA